This is a long non-coding RNA of Meriones unguiculatus (Mongolian gerbil), 534 nucleotides long. RefSeq lists it as uncharacterized. The record is from RefSeq and is a predicted model, not a curated record. The transcript has 3 exons. Lineage: Eukaryota; Metazoa; Chordata; Mammalia; Rodentia; Muridae.
ACAGUUCAACCUCCCAUCACUUGUCAGCAUCUCUCUGUGAUCCAUCUGGCCACAGCGGGAAUUCUGUCACCUCAGCAUCCUCUCCUGUAUCCUUCUCCUGUAUCCUUCUCCACUCUGACUUGGCCAGAGCAUCUGAGAAGACGGUCUCAGCAGUUCUCCUUCCACCGUGAUCCUCUCCUUCCAGACUCACUUCUUCUUUACAGCCAUGACCAAAUCACUGAUCCGGAAUCCACCAUCUUACAUCUACACCACGGAAAUCAAUGGAUUAUUUCAUCCUCUACAGGACAAAAUGCACCCAGAGACAACUGGGAACCUCGGAGAGAGAUGAUUGUUCUGUCAAGUAACAGACAUGGAUGAAACGUAGAAGCCUCGGGUUUUCCUCAAACCUUCUGCACUCUCUUGAAUAUGUAUAGAACUGAAAAUCCCACAAAAAUGAGAAAUGAACCUGGCACAGUGGCAUGUGCCUGUACUAACAGCUUGCAGAGUCUGAGGCAGGGGGAUGCCUGGGUUGAGGGAAGGCUGUUCUACCUAGGG